UACGUAGGGCGCGAGCGUUGUCCGGAAUUUAUUGGGCGUAAAGAGCUCGUAGGCGGCCUGUUACGUCUGCUGUGAAAUCCCGGGGCUUAACCCCGGGCGUGCAGUGGAUACGGGCAGGCUGGAGGCAGGCAGGGGAGAACGGAAUUCCCGGUGUAGCGGUGAAAUGCGCAGAUAUCGGGAGGAACACCGGUGGCGAAGGCGGUUCUCUGGGCCUGUACUGACGCUGAGGAGCGAAAGCGUGGGGAGCGAACAGG
This 254-nucleotide ribosomal RNA is filed under the name uncultured bacterium. RNAcentral describes it as "partial 16S ribosomal RNA". It matches the Rfam family "Bacterial small subunit ribosomal RNA", at positions 524 to 776 of the family's 1533-position model. The record is from RNAcentral.